Molecule: ribosomal RNA, 509 nt
Filed under: uncultured bacterium
Lineage: Bacteria
Description: partial 16S ribosomal RNA
Rfam family: Bacterial small subunit ribosomal RNA
Source: RNAcentral
GACGAACGCUGGCGGCGUGCUUAACACAUGCAAGUGGAGCGACGAACCAGGCUUCGGCCUGGGGCAAAGCCGCGAACGGGUGAGUAACACGUGGGUAACCUGCCCCGAUGAUUGGGACAACCCGAGGAAACUCGGGCUAAUACCAAAUGUGCCCUCUGGCCAUAAGGCCGCUGGGGAAAGGAAGCUUCGGCCUCCGCAUCGGGAUGGGCCCGCGGCCCAUUAGCUUGUUGGUGAGGUAACGGCUCACCAAGGCGACGAUGGGUAGCUGGUCUGAGAGGACGAUCAGCCACACUGGGACUGAGACACGGCCCAGACUCCUACGGGAGGCAGCAGUGGGGAAUCUUGCGCAAUGCGCGAAAGCGUGACGCAGCAACGCCGCGUGGGGGAAGAAGGCCUUCGGGUUGUAAACCCCUUUCAGUUGGGACGAAGCUUCAUCGGUUAAUAGCCGGUCGGAGUGACGGUACCUUCAGAAGAAGCCCCGGCUAACUACGUGCCAGCCGCCGCAGUAA